RNAcentral lists this unclassified non-coding RNA (326 nucleotides) under soil metagenome. RNAcentral's name for it is "partial contains 5.8S ribosomal RNA, internal transcribed spacer 2, and large subunit ribosomal RNA". The stretch from base 1 to 120 matches the Rfam family "5.8S ribosomal RNA", at positions 35 to 154 of the family's 154-position model. The record is from RNAcentral.
GAUGAAGAACGUAGCGAAAUGCGAUAAGUAAUGUGAAUUGCAGAAUUCAGUGAAUCAUCGAAUCUUUGAACGCACAUUGCGCCCCUUGGUAUUCCGAGGGGCAUGCCUGUUCGAGCGUCAUAUUAACCACUCCCGCUUGCGGGGUCUUGGGCUUCGCCUCCGGGCGGGCCUUAAAAUCAGUGGCGGUGCCGUCGGGCUCUACGCGUAGUAAAUUUUCUCGCGAUAGGGUCCUGGUGGAUGCUUGCCAACAACCCCCAACUUCUUAAGGUUGACCUCGGAUCAGGUAGGGAUACCCGCUGAACUUAAGCAUAUCAAUAAGCGGAGGA